RNAcentral lists this ribosomal RNA (449 nucleotides) under uncultured bacterium. RNAcentral describes it as "partial 16S ribosomal RNA". It matches the Rfam family "Bacterial small subunit ribosomal RNA", at positions 29 to 523 of the family's 1533-position model. The record is from RNAcentral.
AGCGAACGCUGGCGGCAGGCCUAACACAUGCAAGUCGAACGAACUCUUCGGAGUUAGUGGCGGACGGGUGAGUAACACGUGGGAACGUGCCUUUAGGUUCGGAAUAACUCAGGGAAACUUGUGCUAAUACCGAAUGUGCCCUUCGGGGGAAAGAUUUAUCGCCUUUAGAGCGGCCCGCGUCUGAUUAGCUAGUUGGUGAGGUAAAGGCUCACCAAGGCGACGAUCAGUAGCUGGUCUGAGAGGAUGAUCAGCCACAUUGGGACUGAGACACGGCCCAAACUCCUACGGGAGGCAGCAGUGGGGAAUCUUGCGCAAUGGGCGAAAGCCUGACGCAGCCAUGCCGCGUGAAUGAUGAAGGUCUUAGGAUUGUAAAAUUCUUUCACCGGGGACGAUAAUGACGGUACCCGGAGAAGAAGCCCCGGCUAACUUCGUGCCAGCCGCCGCGGUAA